RNAcentral lists this ribosomal RNA (287 nucleotides) under uncultured bacterium. RNAcentral's name for it is "partial 16S ribosomal RNA". It matches the Rfam family "Bacterial small subunit ribosomal RNA", at positions 773 to 1060 of the family's 1533-position model. The record is from RNAcentral.
GUGGAUUAGAUACCCUGGUAGUCCACGCUGUAAACUAUGGACGCUAGCCGUUGGGUAGCUUGCUAUUCAGUGGCGCAGCUAACGCAUUAAGCGUCCCGCCUGGGGAGUACGGCCGCAAGGUUGAAACUCAAAGGAAUUGACGGGGGCCCGCACAAGCGGUGGAGCAUGUGGUUUAAUUCGACGCAACGCGCAGAACCUUACCAGGGUUUGACAUCCUGUGCUCGCUGGUGAAAGCCAGUUUUCCAGCAAUGGACACAGAGACAGGUGCUGCACGGCUGUCGCCAGCU